CUGCUUGAUAUCAUAUGGUUUUGCAGGAGCUAUAAGAUGUUGAGGAAAGCUUGAAGCUUCUCUAGAUGAAAGGCACUCCAAGAGCUCUGGUGAAUCUGUUAUCCAGCCUGAUGGGAAUGGUAAAGACGGAGCUGACACAGAGGCCAUGAAGUCCGUUAUGGCUACAGAAGCUGGCGAGCAAAAAAGAACUAUUUGAGGUUAAUGGAAGAGAAGGUUCAGGAGCUAGAGAGGAGUUGGACUGUUAUACAGGAAAGAGCACUGAAACAGCCUUCUCCAGCUCAGAGAGAGAAGUCAUUGGAUAAACAACUCCAAACUCUAAUCGAGCAAUUAGCUGCAAAGCAGGGCACAAGCAGAGGGGAUUGUUGGUGAGAUUCAUUCGGAUGGAGUUAGAGAGAUUGUGGAGAAGAUAUGAGAGCUUUGACGUCGUCGAGGGAAACGCUGCAAGGAACAGAUUCAAAAAGAACAAAUUCAGAUAAGAGGAUUUGGAUCAGACCAUGAGGUUGAUGCUCAUUCCUACCUUCCAUAUUCAACUGCUACAAGAACUGACACCCAAACAAGGCUCAUGUAUCUCAGGUCAGCUUUUGUGGCUUUGCACGUCCUCGUUUUCAUCAAGAUUUCCUUCUGAGAUAUUAUGUACGACUGCUUUUACUUUGCAUAUAAAAUUUAUAUGAAUAUGAUAACUGUUCGUAAAUGGUUUUCCGUCCUUGCAUAUGAAUGAAUAUACAUGGGCAAUCAAAUACUAAGACUUCUACAGGAAUCUUUUUUUUUGUUUGAUUUAAAAUUGGUCUCAUCUACUUAUCCUUGAGGAAUGGUUUUUA
Raphanus sativus (radish) is the source of this 818-nucleotide long non-coding RNA. RefSeq lists it as uncharacterized. The transcript has 4 exons. The record is from RefSeq and is a predicted model, not a curated record. Lineage: Eukaryota; Viridiplantae; Streptophyta; Magnoliopsida; Brassicales; Brassicaceae.